This 467-nucleotide ribosomal RNA is filed under the name uncultured bacterium. RNAcentral describes it as "partial 16S ribosomal RNA". It matches the Rfam family "Bacterial small subunit ribosomal RNA", at positions 28 to 506 of the family's 1533-position model. The record is from RNAcentral.
GACGACCGCUGGCGGCGUGCUUAACACAUGCAAGUCGAACGGAAAGGCCCUGCUUUUGUGGGGUGCUCGAGUGGCGAACGGGUGAGUAACACGUUAGUAACCUGCCCUUGACUUUGGGAUAACUUCAGGAAACUGGGGCUAAUACCGGAUAGGAGCUCCUGCUGCAUGGUGGGGGUUGGAAAGUUUCGGCGGUUGGGGAUGGACUCGCGGCUUAUCAGCUUGUUGGUGGGGUAGUGGCUUACCAAGGCUUUGACGGGUAGCCGGCCUGAGAGGGUGACCGGCCACAUUGGGACUGAGAUACGGCCCAGACUCAUACGGGAGGCAGCAGUGGGGAAUAUUGCACAAUGGGCGGAAGCCGGAUGCAGCAACGCCGCGUGCGGGAUGACGGCCUUCGGGUUGUAAACCGCUUUCGCCUGUGACGAAGCGUGAGUGACGGUAAUGGGUAAAGAAGCACCGGCUAACUACGU